This 88-nucleotide non-coding RNA is filed under the name Dactylococcopsis salina PCC 8305. The record is from RNAcentral. Lineage: Bacteria; Bacillati; Cyanobacteriota; Cyanophyceae; Nodosilineales; Cymatolegaceae.
UUGAGCCGUAUGCGGUGAAAGUCGACGCACGAUUCUGAGGGGGGAAGGAGACCAAGAUGUUAUAAUCAAGGUCUCUGACCUACCCGAC